Long non-coding RNA from Hevea brasiliensis (rubber tree), 977 nucleotides. RefSeq lists it as uncharacterized. The record is from RefSeq and is a predicted model, not a curated record. NCBI's taxonomy places the organism in Eukaryota, Viridiplantae, Streptophyta, Magnoliopsida, Malpighiales, Euphorbiaceae. The transcript is spliced from 2 exons.
GUUUCAAUUUUUAUUGAUGAUCCAUGACUAAGAUAGUCAUGUCGUUCACAGCUAAGACGCAAAUGAAAUGUCAUGUCAACAUUUAGUUUGCUUCUUGUAUUGUUAACUUGUGUUAUUGGCUUUGGUUUGCUCAAAUGUCUACGGUGGUGACAAUCAUGGGUGGUGGCCUUGUUACUAUUAUUCAGUGUUGCUAUUACUCAGUAUGAGCUGCCCUUUCUGUGCAGGUGUUUUUAUAUGCAGGGGUAUCUCUUCCUCCGUUUUGCUCGGAUAACGGGUUUCCCUCCCUCUGGGUGGGGUUGUGAAUAACGGUAAUAUGAUUUUGCAGCAGAUGAACCUUCUUGAUGAGGGCAUGUUUUGAUUUGCCGACUAUUGCAAUUGAAUUAGGCUAUUGCAUGCAAUGUGGGUUGUGUUUCUGUUUUUAUGGUUUACAUGUGACGUGAAGGAGUUCGGAUAUUGAGUUCAAUUUGUCUAGUCUCGAGAAAGGAGGAACAUAGCUUCCGCUGGUGGUAGCUCGUUGGUUAAGCCGACAAAGAUCAAUGGCCAUCUUGGAAGGCUCGAGUAAGAUGUCGAAAAGUGAUACUACCACGACCCUUUGCUUAUGCAGGGUUGAUUUGCGCUUCUCUCCUCAUGGUUCUACCGUGCUUCAUUAUCUAACCUUGGGCCCUUCUUCAACUCUACUCUAGCUUUCUGGUUUGCUGUAGUUGCAAGCCCCUUAACAUAAUGGUUGGCUUUGCUCGUGCGUACUUUGAUUUUUGUCUUCUCCAUAAGCUAUGUUAGACGGUAGACGACGUGGUCCUCUUAUUUUGGUCUAUCUUCCUUCUGGUGCGCCAGAUUAAGAUUUCAUCUGAGCUUUGGGCUAAAUUUGCUUUUAGUUUGGUAUAGGUUGAGUUGUUUGUUAAGGCUCUUUUCUCCAGACUAUGGCUUGUAUUAACAGCUUUGAAUCUUAUGUGAAUCCUCUAGUCUAUAUUGAACCUCAA